This is a non-coding RNA of Streptomyces sp. Ncost-T6T-2b, 48 nucleotides long. The record is from Rfam. Lineage: Bacteria; Bacillati; Actinomycetota; Actinomycetes; Kitasatosporales; Streptomycetaceae.
CACCGAGUCCGAGGCCCUGGGGAUCUCCGGGGCCUGGUGCAAAAGGGA